RNAcentral lists this long non-coding RNA (209 nucleotides) under Solanum tuberosum (potato). RNAcentral describes it as "long non-coding RNA (STUB_LNC011834)". Lineage: Eukaryota; Viridiplantae; Streptophyta; Magnoliopsida; Solanales; Solanaceae. The record is from RNAcentral.
GCCCAAAAUGAAAUGGGCCCAAGUAUUGGUCCAGGCGGACAGAAAAACCAAACUUGGGCUCGAGUCUCUUUCCCUCUUUACUUUAUUAUGUUUGUGUGCUCGUUAAUAUUUGCCGCUUAAUCUUAAGGUUUUAAAAAUUCAAAUCCUCAAAAGACACCCAUUUUGAAUUAAUUACUUAACCAAAUUAUUCAUCCCUUACUUGACUUAAU